ACAAAGGUGACGGAUAGAUGAAGUGGUUCUGGAAAGACCCGCCAAAGAAGGUAACAGCCCUGUAAUCGAAAUCGGUCACCCUCCGAGACGGAUCCUGAGUACCGCGGGACACGUGAAACCCCGUGGGAAGCAGGGAGGACCACCUCCCAAGGCUAAAUACUCCCUGGCGACCGAUAGUGAACCAGUACCGUGAGGGAAAGGUGAAAAGCACCCCGGGAGGGGAGUGAAAGAGAACCUGAAACCGUGUGCUUACAAUCAGUCGGAGUCCUUUUAAAGGGAUGACGGCGUGCCUUUUGUAGAAUGAACCGGCGAGUGACGGUUACGUGCGAGGUUAAGGUGAGAAGCCGGAGCCGCAGCGAAAGCGAGUCUGAACAGGGCGAAUGAGUACGUGGCCGUCGACCCGAAACCGGGUGAUCUACCCAUGUCCAGGGUGAAGUUCCGGUAACACGGAAUGGAGGCCCGAACCUGUUGGUGUUGAAAAACCAUAGGAUGAGGUGUGGGUAGGGGUGAAAUGCCAAUCGAACCCGGAGAUAGCUGGUUCUCCCCGAAAUAGCUUUAGGGCUAGCCUCGGAGAGGAGUCGUGGAGGUAGAGCACUGAUUGGGCUAGGGGCCCCCACAGGGUUACCGAACUCAGUUAAACUCCGAAUGCCACAGACU
This 657-nucleotide ribosomal RNA is filed under the name Thermoactinomyces sp. CICC 10520. RNAcentral describes it as "partial 23S ribosomal RNA". It matches the Rfam family "Bacterial large subunit ribosomal RNA", at positions 316 to 970 of the family's 2925-position model. The record is from RNAcentral. Lineage: Bacteria; Bacillati; Bacillota; Bacilli; Caryophanales; Thermoactinomycetaceae.